UGGGGUAUAGCUCAGUGGUAGAGCACCCUUAGGUUCAUACCUAGUACUGCAAAAUAGAUAAAUAAAUAGAACUGGGGAUGUAUCUCAGAAGUAGAGUGCUCCUAGGUUCAAUUUCCAGUACCAGAA
Molecule: transfer RNA, 126 nt
Filed under: Marmota monax (woodchuck)
Lineage: Eukaryota; Metazoa; Chordata; Mammalia; Rodentia; Sciuridae
Description: tRNA.Leu
Source: RNAcentral